This is a long non-coding RNA of Fukomys damarensis (Damara mole-rat), 528 nucleotides long. RefSeq lists it as uncharacterized. NCBI's taxonomy places the organism in Eukaryota, Metazoa, Chordata, Mammalia, Rodentia, Bathyergidae. The transcript has 3 exons. The record is from RefSeq and is a predicted model, not a curated record.
CCGGCCUGGGGAUUCCAUUCUCCUGUGUGUAUGUGAGGAUUUGGAAAGCAUUUGUCCCCCUAGGGAAGGAGAUGUCAAGCCCCAGCAGACCCUGAUGCCCUGAUGUCAGCUGCUGCUCUCACUGACAGGAGUUUGCAGCGUCACCUUUGCCUGCUGCUACCGGCAAAGCCUCUGGCGUGAGGGGCCGCCUCAGGUGUCAUCACAGGAGAGCUCCUCAGAUGUGAAAAGGAGUGAAGUUCUGACACACCCUAAAUGUACACAAACCUCAAAAACAUGCUACGAGAAAGAAGCCGCCUACAAAGGCCACCUGCUGUAAAGUUCUACUUCAGUGCCACCCAGGCGGAUUCAUCUACAGACGGAAAGCACACUGGGAAACAGGACAAAGCACACAGGCUGCUUUCCCCAGACUGCAGGCAGCUUCUCAGUACUCAGAAGACAAUCUCCUGGCACCGAAAAGUCCGGGGACUGCCUACACACCGACAUAGUCCUUGGACUCACCCACAUUCCUGAGGCCCUUCGGUACCUACA